UACGUAGGGUGCGAGCGUUAAUCGGAAUUACUGGGCGUAAAGCGUGCGCAGGCGGUGAUGUAAGACCGAUGUGAAAUCCCCGGGCUCAACCUGGGAACUGCAUUGGUGACUGCAUUGCUCGAGUAUGGCAGAGGGGGGUGGAAUUCCACGUGUAGCAGUGAAAUGCGUAGAGAUGUGGAGGAACACCGAUGGCGAAGGCAGCCCCCUGGGCCAAUACUGACGCUCAUGCACGAAAGCGUGGGGAGCAAAC
RNAcentral lists this ribosomal RNA (250 nucleotides) under uncultured bacterium. Its description in RNAcentral is "partial 16S ribosomal RNA". It matches the Rfam family "Bacterial small subunit ribosomal RNA", at positions 524 to 773 of the family's 1533-position model. The record is from RNAcentral.